UAUAUAUAUAUUACAUCGUAGACUCAAAACUUAGUAAAACCUUACGAAGUGUAGUGUCUAAUUUACAGCGAUUAUUAUCAACUGGCUCUGUCUGGUGUGUAGCCUACACGUUAUUUCUCUCGACCCCAAUCUCAGAUCAAGCUGAAAUUUUGCACCUGACAAAACAAGAAUCAAUAAAAAUAUAAACUAGUUACUUAUUUUGUUUGGUAUCUCAAACAAAGUAAAGAGAUUGUACUUGACUUCAUCAUACAGACAAAGACAGGAAAAAAAAAAUAUUUCAGUAGCAGAGCUCGGGUUUGGCGAAUGGACCGAUCGCCUCAAACCUUUUCCCACUUUUCUAAGGACGCUAACUGUAAAGGACUUGGCUAACAAGAAAUGAGAGGCGUGGAGUGCUGAGUUAAG
Biomphalaria glabrata is the source of this 402-nucleotide long non-coding RNA. RefSeq lists it as uncharacterized. Lineage: Eukaryota; Metazoa; Mollusca; Gastropoda; Planorbidae. The transcript has 2 exons. The record is from RefSeq and is a predicted model, not a curated record.